This 343-nucleotide unclassified non-coding RNA is filed under the name soil metagenome. RNAcentral describes it as "partial contains 5.8S ribosomal RNA, internal transcribed spacer 2, and large subunit ribosomal RNA". The stretch from base 1 to 120 matches the Rfam family "5.8S ribosomal RNA", at positions 35 to 154 of the family's 154-position model. The record is from RNAcentral.
GAUGAAGAACGCAGCGAAACGCGAUAAGUAAUGUGAAUUGCAGAAUCCAGUGAAUCAUCGAAUCUUUGAACGCACAUUGCGCCCGCCAGCAUUCUGGCGGGCAUGCCUGUUCGAGCGUCAUUUCAACCCUCGACCUCCCCUUGGGGAGGUCGGCGUUGGGGACCGGCAGCACACCGCCGGCCCUGAAAUGGAGUGGCGGCCCGUCCGCGGCGACCUCUGCGCAGCAAUACAGCUCGCACCGGGACCCCGACGCGGCCACGCCGUAAAACACCCAACUUCUGAACGUUGACCUCGAAUCAGGUAGGACUACCCGCUGAACUUAAGCAUAUCAAUAAGCGGAGGA